Molecule: ribosomal RNA, 510 nt
Filed under: Bombus sandersoni
Lineage: Eukaryota; Metazoa; Arthropoda; Insecta; Hymenoptera; Apidae
Description: partial 16S ribosomal RNA
Rfam family: Bacterial large subunit ribosomal RNA (bases 381-510)
Source: RNAcentral
GGCUUGAUGAUAUAUAAUUUUAAGUCGAUCUGCCCAAUGAUUAAGUAUUUAAUGGCUGCAGUAUAUCUGACUGUACAAAGGUAGCAUAAUCGAUUGUUUUUUAAUUGAAAACUGGUAUGAAAGAAUUAAUGAGAUAUAUACUGUCUCAUAUAUAUUUUGUAAAAUUAAAUUUUUAGUAAAAAUGCUUAAAUGUUUUUAUGGGACGAUAAGACCCUAUAGAAUUUUAUAUUAAUUUUUAGAUUGUGUUAAUAGUUAUUUUAAUAAUUAAUAUUUAGUUGGGAGGAUUGGUAAAUUUAAUAAACUUUAUUUUUUAUUUUAACUUUGAUUUGAGAAUUAUUAAUGUUCGUGUAUUAUAAAUUAUAAGAUUAAAUUACCUUAGGGAUAACAGCGUAAUAUCUUUGGAGAGUUCAUAUUAAUAAAGAUGAUUGCGACCUCGAUGUUGAAUUAAGAUAAAUUUUAAAUGCAGAAGUUUAAUGAUUAAGUCUGUUCGACUUUUAAAAUCUUACAUGA